GACAGAGGGUGCGAACGUUGUUCGGAAUUACUGGGCGUAAAGCGCGUGUAGGCUGUCACGCAAGUCGGGUGUGAAAGCCCGGGGCUGAACCCCGGAAGUGCACUCGAAACUGCAUGACUUGAGUCUCGGAGAGGGCGGCGGAAUUCUGGGUGUAGAGGUGAAAUUCGUAGAUAUCCAGAGGAACACCGGUGGCGAAGGCGGCCGCCUGGACGAGCACUGACGCUGAGACGCGAAAGCGUGGGGAGCAAACAGG
RNAcentral lists this ribosomal RNA (253 nucleotides) under uncultured bacterium. Its description in RNAcentral is "partial 16S ribosomal RNA". It matches the Rfam family "Bacterial small subunit ribosomal RNA", at positions 524 to 776 of the family's 1533-position model. The record is from RNAcentral.